GUGGGGAAUUUUGGACAAUGGGCGCAAGCCUGAUCCAGCCAUUCCGCGUGCAGGAUGAAGGCCUUCGGGUUGUAAACUGCUUUUGUACGGAACGAAAAGGUUCUCUCUAAUACAGGGGGCUGAUGACGGUACCGUAAGAAUAAGCACCGGCUAACUACGUGCCAGCAGCCGCGGUAAUACGUAGGGUGCAAGCGUUAAUCGGAAUUACUGGGCGUAAAGCGUGCGCAGGCGGUGAUGUAAGACAGAUGUGAAAUCCCCGGGCUCAACCUGGGAACUGCAUUUGUGACUGCAUUGCUGGAGUGCGGCAGAGGGGGAUGGAAUUCCGCGUGUAGCAGUGAAAUGCGUAGAUAUGCGGAGGAACACCGAUGGCGAAGGCAAUCCCCUGGGCCUGCACUGACGCUCAUGCACGAAAGCGUGGGGAGCAAACAGGAUUAGAAACCCCAGUAGUCC
RNAcentral lists this ribosomal RNA (450 nucleotides) under uncultured bacterium. Its description in RNAcentral is "partial 16S ribosomal RNA". It matches the Rfam family "Bacterial small subunit ribosomal RNA", at positions 354 to 796 of the family's 1533-position model. The record is from RNAcentral.